AAUGCACUGUAAUGACAUCAAGGGAGACUGAUUAAGAAACCUUUAAAUUAAAACAUCAGAUGCUUUUCCGAUCUCAAAACCUCAAUUUCCACAAAUAAUAAUUCAAUAAGAUCUCUAAUAAUGGAACUAGUAAAAUAACCCCUUUAUACAUUUUAUGUGUGCACUGCAGGUAUAAAUUGGGGUUGUGAACAUUUGUUUGUAGCUUAAAACUAAUGCAGCUUUAUCCAUUUAGCUCAGUCUUUUUUGUUUUAUUUUCUAAUACGCUGAUCUUAGACCCAUUCACAUCUACUUAUAAGAAUGGCGUGUCAAAUUUUGACUUGAACAACAGUCAGGUCAAGGUAUAAACAUGAAACGUUGCUAAAGCACACGGCUAACAAUUUGAACCAGAUAAUGACAAAAGUGCACCGCUGUAGCGUUACUCAUAAUCACCAGUAGCUACAGCGAACAUUGUGAGAAUCGAGCUACAAGUGAAAUGACGAAAUGAAGUGUUUUAUUUCUAAUUUUUGGCUAAUGCAAAUAGGCCGUCUUGUUAGCUUGUUAAUGUUAGCUAGUUGAUGUGCCAAGAGUGAAGCUAACUUAAUCAAGACUAUUAUCUAAAGAUAGCAGUAUAACACCGUCAUGCUAAAAAUAUUGUUAACUAAGCUAAUAUAACCAAAUAUGUUUGCCCUUACCUUCACGUGCUUCCGUAGAUUUGACGGGGAAUUUUUGUAAGCCAUUAUUUCAACUAGCUUUGGAGUGCAAAGCAGACACUUCAUGCGGAAAGAAUCUGACUUGACCCCAACACAAUCAAAGAGGGAGUGAAGAUAAGGCCAUGGGUGUCCAGCGUCUUUAUCCAAUGAAGGGAUUUCUUCAUCACUGCGAUGUCUCGUUUUCAGCCAUUGUGAGCAUGUGCAAGCCAAGCGCUAAAUGCUCAGUUGGCGGGUCCAAGCUAUGUCCAGGCAGGCAGGCUAGUGCUGCGUUCAUGUUCUCUGGUAAAGAGGAGUCUUCCCCUUGGGAACUCGUAAAUAUGAGGGUGUCUGGUUCAUGUAAUUUUGUUGAGGGAGAAAGGGAAAAAAACGAUUGUAGUGCACUUUAUUUAAACUCUUAUAAGCAGAAGAAAAGGUAAAAUCUUUUUUUGACUUAUUCAAUAAUCUUAUAGAAGAUGUGCAAGGAAAAAUAUAAUCCAAAUGAACAGUUAUUGAAACUUCACAGUCACGUCAAAAAAAUAAUAAAAAUGUAAAUAAAAUUGUAAAAUAAUAUGAAAAGGCGUUUUGUUUUAUUUAUUUACUUUUUUUUUUACCUGGAAAACACUUGAUUUUUCUGAUUAUUUAAAAAUCUUUCGCCUCUAUCCUUCAUUUUGAAAGGUCAAUUAUUACAUCAAUUUGGCAACUAAAGCAUCAACAAAUCUCUCCGUUUCCCAGUGGUAAAUACCACACCACAUUCAGUCCUGUGCGCUGGGAAAGUCGUAUUUUCUACUAAAUUGGCUUCACUUGAACGCAGCACAGGUCUCACUUUGGUCUCACUAGCGGGCUCGUGGCCCAGUGAUGGAGCACAGCGCUAAACUGGUCAUUAUUUUACUCAAACCUGUUAGAAAAGUACUUAAGUAAAAGUAGCAGUAACGAAGUGGCUUCUUGAAAAUGUAGUGGAGUAAAAGUAUAUUUUUUAAUUCAGAAAUGUAGUGGGGUAAAAGUAAAAAGUCAUGAAGAAAAAAAUAACUCAAGUAAAGUACAAGUACUGCCAAAUUAUACUUAAGUACUGUACUUAAGUAUUAUUACUUUGUUACUAUACAACACUGAUUAGGACUAAAUCCUGUACUUUUUUGAAUAACCUCCCGAGCUGCCAACAAUAGCCACAGCAAACCCUUCUCCCAGUCUGCCUUCAACUCUGUGCAGUAAGCAUGCAGUAACAAUUUUAAAUGCUUGAAAAUCACUAAAUUUUCUGUUAUAUAUGGCUAAAAUAUGGGGUGAAAACGUACAUAUUUAAUUUGAACAUUUAACAUAGAAGGAUUUAUAGAAGCAAGUUGUGCUUGGUGUCAAAAUUUAGGGCAAUUCCUGUACUUUCACAUUGUUGAGCUGAAUCUCAGGACAUGGGACCUUUAAAAAAAAAAAAAAAAAAAAAAAAAAAAAAAAAAAAACUACACUUCCCAGAAUGCACUGGUAGCAGCAAGGAGGGACCUGACACCUGGUGCUUGACAGCUUGACACCUGAUCAGUGAUCACUGAUAUAGAGCACCUGGGAAGGACUGGGGGAAGCUCAGCCAGUCUGGCAAACACACUUCAGAAGAGAGACACGAGGAAAGAACAAAGAAGAGCCAAGUCCACUCAUGGAUUCAGUCCAAAGACGCCAAUGGUUGGUGAAAUGUUUAUUUGCUUUUUAUGUGCAAGUUUAUGUUAACUGCACUGUAUGAUUGGUUGAUUUAAAUGAUUAAGAGACUAAUAUGUAAACUUUUUGGUUCUGUGUUUGAUGCUAUGAAUGUUGUUUCUUUCUUUAAAGGUUUACAACCUAUUGAAAUACUCUGACCAACCAACUAGAAGGAAAAUAAAGUUUUGUGUUGGAAGUUUAAAACUGAGUUGUCCUCGCGUCCUUUGGAGGGAAAGAGAGGUGGACUUAACAGUUGUAAACCACGCGGAGCAGCCUGGCCCUGAGGAUAAACGGCUUCAGAACCAGAAAUAAGCUGUUGACGCAGAGGAAGUCAAGAUGGCGGAAGAUGUCCUGGGGAAGUCGGUCAAGGAGCUCAAAAAAGAGAGGACCACUGCAAAAAGCAGCUUCACCAGACAAGCCAACUUCAUUUCAAGAGGAGCAAGCAGCAUGCUUCAAGUGGAAUUAAAGGAGGAAUUCACUAAACUUUCAGACUGUUUCAGAAAGAUGCUCAAUGCCAAUGAUGAUUACCGGAUUGGACUGGAGGCUGACAUUAAGACUGAGAAUGAGGAAGCAGAUCUUGAUGAACAGCAAGAGGCCGAUAUUGACAGAUCUGUAAAAGAAGGUGAAACAAAGUUAGCAGAAAUAAGAGACAUUGUUCAAACAAACCUGUGGUCAAGGUACGGGAAGAGUGAACUUGAUGUGGCAAUCCUGGAAGCAGAAAAAGCCGCUGAUAGAGCGGCUGGUGUAACUGUGGAAAGCAGCAAUUUGGAGGGCUAUGAAGUGCACCUCAUUCUCUUGGACAAAAGAGUGAAGGAGGCCAUCUCAGCAAUGUCAACAUGGGAGAGAUGGAUCCCUGCGGAAUUAAAGGAUGAACUGGAUGGAAGAGUCAAGGAUGUGAGAGCAUCCUAUUACAGCCUUGAAUUAAGGAAAGCUGACUUUGCCACUGCUCGGAUGAGGGAUGAAAAACUCACAGGAGUGAAACUACCACCCCAACUGGCAACGCCCACACCAAUGGUGAGAAUCCAGCCAAUCACUCUACCUAUCUUCAAUGGAAACAAGAGAGAAUAUCACAGAUGGAGGAAAGACUGGGAAAGCCUGCAAAAGCAGGGAGAGCCAUCUGGUUCAAUUGAAGUUAAGAAAAUUCAACUCUUGGAGAGUGUGGAUGACAAAAUCUCAAAAGAUCUCAGACUUUCCACCUAUACCACUGCCAAUGACAUGUUCAGAGUUCUGGAGAACAGAUAUGGCAACAAGUUAACCAUCACUGUGGAAAUCCUUGAAGAGCUGGAGAAGAUGCCACAUGUGAAGGGGAACCAGCCAAGAAAGGUCAUUGACCUCAUACAGUCAGUGGAGAAGGCCCUAGCAGAUCUCACAGAAUUAGGAAACUCUGGAGCCAUAAAGAACCCACUGGUAGUUAAAUCCAUUGAAAGUAAGUUGCCUGACUUUAUUAAGAGAGACUGGCUGAUGUUCAUGGUCGAACCUAGAAACAACGUCACAUCAGACAACCACUUUGACAUGCUCUUGAAGUUCCUGAAAAGUCAAGAAGAAAUACUAGAGAGACUCGAACAGCUCAGGACUGUGGAGAAAACGGAGAAGACAGAUCGUUUUGACAAGAAGUACGAGAGAAAGAUUGCCUCAACAAAAACCACAAAGAAGGAAAAACUUGAUGAGGUAUGUGGUGUUUGCGGUGAUGGUGGGCACAACAACAAAAUCUUCUUCUGUAGAAAGUUCAAAAGACUUAAGCUACCUGAAAAGAAAGCUGUAUUGAGAAAGCUGGGAGCAUGCAGGAAAUGUCUUGGAUGCCAUGAUGAAGAUGGAUACUGCAGAGACACUUUCCUAUGCAGAAACAAAGACUGUAAAAGGGGAGGCGAUGCCCCAGACCACCAUUUCUUCCUCUGCCCAAAAGGAGAAGUCAAAAGAGGUGAAGAGGAAAGGAGUGGAAAAUACAGCAAAGGUGAAAGCACACUGACGGAGGAACAAAAGCAGAUCUUGUCUGAACUUACCCCAGAAAUGGCAGAUCGAUGCAGGAAAGCUUUUACCAACACCAACAAGACCACGGGGACAUUCGAUGCUUCAGGCCAGUCUGACCUACUGCAGAGAAAUGGGCUCGCUGAACUUCCUGUCAUUAUGAUGUUGAUGCAAGUCACUGCAAAUGCAGGGCAGAAAAUUGGGACUUUAAUUGACCUUGCUUCAGAUACAAACUACAUCACCCAUAAGGCUGCUGAAAGACUGAGGUUAAGAAAUGAGAAGAUAACCUUAGUUGUGCAUGGAGUUGGUGGAAUGACCAUGAAGGUGAACACACAAAGGUAUCUCCUCAAAGUCAGAGUCAAGACUCCUAAAGGAACAGAGAGAGCUCAUGAAAUGGUCUGCUACGGCUUGGAUGAAAUCGCCAGAGUGCAUCAAGUAAUUGAACCUGAGCAAUUGAAAAAAUUCUUCCCAGAAGUCAAACUUGAAGAAUUGGAAAGGCCAGAAGAGGUUGAACUUCUCAUUAGCCACCGAGAGGGAAGGCUCGCUCCCCAGAGAGUGAAAGUCAUUGGAGACCUCGUCUUGUGGGAGGGUCCAUUGGGGAAAACAGUGGGUGGAGCGCAUCCCGACUUGUUUGAAGAAGUGGAGGUGGCAGCAUAUGAGUCCAAGACACACUUUGCUCGCUCCAUGAGGACAGCAGCUGUCAAAUAUCAAGAACUCAGAAUUCAUUCGACUGACAUAGCCCAGCUACAGCAGGAGGACAUGGCUCAGACCAAAUUCACAGCUUCCAGUAACCGUAACUUCCUUGAGUGGUGGCACUGGGACAGCAUCGGCGCUGCUUGUGAGCCAAGAUGUGGAGGAUGCCGAUGUGGAAACUGUCCACCAGGAGGAAAAGAAAUGACCCUGGCAGAGGAGAUGGAGCUUGAUGUCAUUAAAAGAGGCCUCACCUACAGAAAAGGAGAUGCUCACACACCAUCUCCACACUGGGAUGCAAAGUAUCCUUGGACAGUAGAUCCAGCCUCUCUUCCAAAUAACAAAGGUGCAGUCCAAGCUUGUUUCUUAAGGAUGGAAAAGCAACUGAGCAGGGAGCCAGACUGGAAAGUUGCAUAUGCUACACAGAUCCAUGAAAUGGUGGAACGAGGUGCGGCCAUACAACUCACCAACGAAGUCAUGGACCAGUGGAACGGACCAGUGUGGUAUGUAAGCCACCUGGUGGCACCAAACCCUCAUUCAGUGACAACACCAGUUCGUAUUGUAUGGAAUAGUAGCCAGAAGUACAAAGGCGUGAGCAUGAAUGAUCUUCUUCUGAAGGGACCAGACGUCCUCAACCCUAUCAGAGCUGUUUUGCUGAGGUUCAGAGAAGGAAUGCAUGCAGCUCUAGGAGACAUCAAAAAGAUGUACAACUCUGUAUGGCUGGAGGAUCGCGAGAUGCAUCUUCACAGGUUCCUCUGGAGGGCCAGCCCAGAUGAAGAGAUAAGUGAAUAUGCAAUUACCAGAGUCAAUAUAGGAGACAGACCGGCUGGUUGCAUUGCUCAGGUGGCCAUGAGGGAAACAGCCAGCCUGCCCAACUUUGUUCACUUGGAGGUUGAACGCAGAGUCAUUGAAGAGGACAGUUAUGUGGAUGACCUUUUAACCUCCCACAAUGACUUAAACAAACUCAACAAAAUCACAGCAAAUGUUGAAGAGAUCUUGAAGGCUGGUGGUUUCUUCCUCAAACCAUGGGUCCGGUCAGGGCAGAGUGGGAGGCAAGGGAUAGAGACAGAGGCUCUAACAAAGAAACAAGAUAGAACCUUUAUUCUUCCAAAUCAAAUGAGGGAUGAAGACAACAAAGCUUUGGGCAUUGGCUACCAAAUUGAUGAAGACAAGCUCUACAUGUUAACCUCAGUUAACUUUUCCAAAAGAAAGAAGAAGAUGAGGAUUGGAAAAAAUCUUCUCAAAGAGGAGGUGAGAACUGAGACACCUAAUCCACUGACUAGGAGGGCUCUCUUAAGUCAAGUGGCUGGACUGUAUGACCCAAUUGGCUUAGUUACACCUGCCAAACAGAAGGGAGCAAUUCUUGUUAGAAAGGCAUUCCAAGAGGGAAGGGGUGGCAAGCUAACCCAAGAAACCUGGGACCAACCUCUUUCAAACAGUCUCAGAGAAGAAGCCAUACAGCUUUUUGAAGAAUAUGUGCAGCUUGGACAGGUAAAAUUCCACAGAAGCCUCACGCCAGCUGACUGGAAAGGAAAACCUUGGGGCAUCACAUUCUCAGAUGGAAGUGAAAAAACCUAUGGAGCGGUUAUGUACAUAAGAUGGGAGACAAGUCAAGGCACUGAAGUUCGAUUGGUGGAAUCAAAGGCCAAGCUGACACCUCUGGAUCAGAAGGGAGAAGCUGUAAAAGCUGAAAUCUGUGGUGCUGUCUUCGCUGCCAGGAUCAGGAAGUAUGUGGAAAAACAUGCUCGAAUGAAGAUCGAGAGAUGGUUCCAUCUACUUGACAGUCAAACAGUCUUAGGAGCCAUUCAAAGAGACAGUUAUGGGUACAAAACCUUCUUUGCAAAUAGAGUGGGUGAAAUCCAGAAGGCUGGACCAGUGCAAGACUGGUGGUGGGUCCGUGGAGAGAUGAACAUAGCUGAUCUCAUAACAAGAGGAGGCACUCCUGAAGAUUUGAAGGAGGAUUCCAUAUGGCAAAAUGGACCAGAGUUCCUGAAGUGGCCUGUGGAGGAGUGGCCUAUAAAAUCAGCUGGUGAGGUCGCAGCUCAUGCCAGGGAAAGUGUAAACAAGCUUCAGAGGAAGGCUUUCUCAAGUGCGUUAACAAGAGCUCAAGCAAGGAGUCGUCAGCAGAAGGAGGACCUACAAACCACUCAAAGUCAAAAAAGUGAAACCCAAGAGGAAAAACCUGUGGUAAAACCAACUCUUCUUCUAAGAAGGAAGCCCACUGGCUGGGUUAAAGAUACUGUGGAAGUAAGAAGAUUCAGCAGCCUGUCCAAACUGGUGAGAGUCGUCGCCUGGGUUUGCCUAGCUGCCAAGCAGUGGCUGAAGAGGAAGUGUCGGGCCCCAAAACAGUCAAAGUGGGAGGAAACAUCACCCAAGCAAGCUGUGCUGACUGUCAGCGAACUUGAAGAUGCACUCAAUGACAUCUUCCUUGCAGCUCAAGAAGGUGCAGUUUUUCCUGACACAACGCUAAGCAGAUUAGCGGUAUACAAGGAUGUAAACUCUGGACUGCUAGUUUGUGGAGGCAGAAUUCAAAUGUUCAAUGAAGAUAAGACGGCAGUACCAGUUUUACCCUUUGAAGCAUGGGUGUCUACAUUGCUGGCACAAGAAUCCCACAAAGCAAACCACGAGGGAGUGGCAGGAACUCUUCUCCGGAUGAGGAAGAAAGCCUGGGUGAUAAAAGGCCGAAGACUUGCUAAGAAAACGGUUGACAGCUGUGUGGUCUGCAGAAAACAUAAGGCAAAACAGUGUCAACAAAUCAUGGCUGACCUGCCUCUGGAACGAACUGGCCCAGCUGCACCUUUUGAAUUCACCACCAUGGACCUGUUUGGCCCUUAUGAAGUUAAAGAUGAGGUCAAGAAGAGAACUAGACUCAGAGUAUGGGGAAUCGUCUUCUGCUGCAUGGCUUCCCGAGCCAUACACACUGAAGUGGUGAGUGACAUGUCAUCAGAAGGAUUCCUGCUAGCCUAUCAAAGAUUCACUUCACUGAGAGGACACCCAAGGAAACUCUGGUCAGACCCAGGCACUAACUUUGUAGGGGCCAAGCCUGCUCUGGAACAGCUUCACAAGUUCCUUGACCGACUAAACAAGUAUGAACUUGAAGACACAGCUGCCAAACAUGGAACAGAGUGGUCUUGGAAGAUCCACCCUGCAGACUCCCCGCAUAGGAAUGGUGCAGCAGAGGCAGCUGUUAAAGUAGUGAAGCGGGCAUUAAGCAACCUUGGUGGAGAUGGCGUUUUUUCAUGGGGAGAAUUCCAAACGUUCCUCUUCAUGGCAGCCAACCUUGCAAAUGAGAGACCCAUUGAUGCAAGAACUCAAAGCAGAGAAGACUGUAUAGAGUACAUCACACCAAAUUCUCUGCUUUUAGGACGUGCAAGUCCAAAGGGAGACCCUGGAGAUUUCCAGUUUGAAGGCUACCCCUACAAAAGACUUCAAAGUAUCCAAGCGGAAGUAAACAAAUUCUGGAGGAAGUGGAGCCAAUUGGCUGGCCCUAAUCUGUUCAUAAGGAACAAAUGGCACACCGAAAAUCGAAACGUUGCUGUUGGAGAUGUGGUCUGGUUGGCUGACCAAAACGCCUUGAGAGGACAGUACAAGCUGGCUAGAGUGGUCAGUGUUAAUGCUGACAGCAAAGGCAUUGUAAGAGAUGUGCUUGUGAAGACUUUUCCCAGCUAUCCUGUUCCCAUCACAAAGCCAAAUGACAAGAAAGGGCCCACAAAGGAAAAAAGUGCAAGAACCAAGAGGCUUCAGACGAAGAUCCCAGCCACAAUUCUUCAUAGAGAUGUCAGACGCCUUGUCAUUCUACUUCCCACUGAAGAACAAUGAGAGGUGUAAAGGACUUGUGACCUCGCUGAGUUUGGAAAAACCAGGAGGUCAAGUGGGAGGUGUUGAGCUGAAUCUCAGGACAUGGGACCUUUAAAAAAAAAAAAAAAAAAAAAAAAAAAAAAAAACUACACUUCCCAGAAUGCACUGGUAGCAGCAAGGAGGGACCUGACACCUGGUGCUUGACAGCUUGACACCUGAUCAGUGAUCACUGAUAUAGAGCACCUGGGAAGGACUGGGGGAAGCUCAGCCAGUCUGGCAAACACACUUCAGAAGAGAGACACGAGGAAAGAACAAAGAAGAGCCAAGUCCACUCAUGGAUUCAGUCCAAAGACGCCAAUGGUUUACAACCUAUUGAAAUACUCUGACCAACCAACUAGAAGGAAAAUAAAGUUUUGUGUUGGAAGUUUAAAA
This is an RNA transcript of Amphiprion ocellaris (clown anemonefish), 9224 nucleotides long. RefSeq lists it as uncharacterized. NCBI's taxonomy places the organism in Eukaryota, Metazoa, Chordata, Actinopteri, Pomacentridae. The transcript has 2 exons. The record is from RefSeq and is a predicted model, not a curated record.